Molecule: ribosomal RNA, 739 nt
Filed under: Xanthomonas sp. SR 48
Lineage: Bacteria; Pseudomonadati; Pseudomonadota; Gammaproteobacteria; Lysobacterales; Lysobacteraceae
Description: bacterial SSU rRNA
Rfam family: Bacterial small subunit ribosomal RNA
Source: RNAcentral
GCGGCAGGCCUAACACAUGCAAGUCGAACGGCAGCACAGUAAGAGCUUGCUCUUAUGGGUGGCGAGUGGCGGACGGGUGAGGAAUACAUCGGAAUCUACUUUUCGUGGGAUAACGUAGGGAAACUUACGCUAAUACCGCAUACGACCUACGGGUGAAAGCGGAGGACUUCGGGCUUCGCGCGAUUGAUGAGCCGAUGUCGGAUUAGCUAGUUGGCGGGGUAAAGGCCCACCAAGGCGACGAUCCGUAGCUGGUCUGAGAGGAUGAUCAGCCACACUGGAACUGAGACACGGUCCAGACUCCUACGGGAGGCAGCAGGGGGAAUAUUGGACAAUGGGCGCAAGCCUGAUCCAGCCAUGCCGCGUGGGUGAAGAAGGCCUUCGGGUUGUAAAGCCCUUUUGUUGGGAAAGAAAAGCAGUCGGUUAAUACCCGAUUGUUCUGACGGUACCCAAAGAAUAAGCACCGGCUAACUUCGUGCCAGCAGCCGCGGUAAUACGGGGUGCAAGCGUUACUCGGAAUUACUGGGCGUAAAGCGUGCGUAGGUGGUGGUUUAAGUCUGUUGUGAAAGCCCUGGGCUCAACCUGGGAAUUGCAGUGGAUACUGGGUCACUAGAGUGUGGUAGAGGGUAGCGGAAUUCCCGGUGUAGCAGUGAAAUGCGUAGAGAUCGGGAGGAACAUCCGUGGCGAAGGCGGCUACCUGGACCAACACUGACACUGAGGCACGAAAGCGUGGGGAGCAAUU